Molecule: ribosomal RNA, 253 nt
Filed under: uncultured bacterium
Lineage: Bacteria
Description: partial 16S ribosomal RNA
Rfam family: Bacterial small subunit ribosomal RNA
Source: RNAcentral
GACAGAGGGUGCAAACGUUGUUCGGAAUUACUGGGCGUAAAGCGCGUGUAGGCCGCUUGGAAAGUCGGAUGUGAAAGCCCUGGGCUCAACCUAGGAAGUGCAUUCGAAACUUCCAAGCUGGAGUGCUGGAGAGGAAAGCGGAAUUCUCGGUGUAGAGGUGAAAUUCGUAGAUAUCGAGAGGAACACCGGUGGCGAAGGCGGCUUUCUGGACAGUCACUGACGCUGAGACGCGAAAGCGUGGGGAGCAAACAGG